ACUGUGCAUGGCAUGCAGUCAGGGUAGUAAAUUAAUUUCUCUUUCGCCCAACCUUAAACUAUUUUUUCAUUUAUCUUCAAAUAUUUGAAUAUUUGUUGUUUUCAAACUAUGGCUUGAAGUUUAUCAUCCAUGAUAAUGUAGUUGAAUUGGAAAUCAAUAUAUAAAUUCCAGAUAUUUAGAUCUAUUAUGUAAGGAAUGCUGGUAUGUUGCCACUGUUUGUAAAAUCAUAAUUUUUCAUUGUCCAUGUUAAACACGCAUCCUCAUAAGUGUAUUUUGGUACCUUCAGUGGGAAUGAUAGAUGUUCCUUUGUUAACAUGUUUUCUUUUAUGAAAGCAAGUAGGUAGGAGGAUUCACUCUGUCAGCUUGACUAGAGUGCUGUUCUAGACAAAUUUUCUUAUGACCUUUAUGUUGAAGUCGUGGAAGCUAAGUUCUAGGACCUUCAUUGCAUCUGAUUAAUAUUUAUAAUAUUUGAAUUUGUCCCAAACCUGACUAUUAUUAUCCAAAUACUAUUCAAAUCCGUUAACUUGAUAUAUUUUAAUAAAAAUAUAUAUAUAAUAUAUUUUUAUUAAUAACUUAUGUUUUAAGAAUUUAAUUAUUUUAUGAAAUAUUUAAAUUCUAUUCAUUUAGAAUUUAUAAAUAUUAUAAAAAAUUUACAUUUUAUAUUUAAUUGAUUAUUUAUAUAAAUAAGUUCGGAUAAUAGAUAUUCCACUCAUAAAACCGAACCUGAACCCGCACAACCAUUAUAUCUUUGAUUCCAAACCCAUAUCAAACUCAAUUAUAUACUACCCCAACCCAUUUUAAUAGGAUUUUAUCAGAUCGGCUUGAAAAUACCUAACUUGACCUGUUGUCAUCCCUAUUUUUGCGAAGACAAGCAAACACAUCUGCUGGUAUGAUGACAUGAAGGCCCUGUAUAAACUAAUAUAGAUAGAAGUAAAUGUAGCAUGUGCACAUGUUGCCAGCAAGAUACUGGGUGAAGAUGUAGGAUGUAAAAUUAGAUGACUUUCUGCUGUUAUUAUCUCCACUGAAUUUACCUUGGAAUUACUUGUUUGGUGGCAGGGAUCUGAUGCAUUCUCUCAAUCUGGUCUAUAUUCCAAUCACCAAGACAUUGGCCCCCCAUAUGCUGGAGUUCUGUUAGGACUA
Molecule: unclassified non-coding RNA, 1140 nt
Filed under: Hevea brasiliensis (rubber tree)
Lineage: Eukaryota; Viridiplantae; Streptophyta; Magnoliopsida; Malpighiales; Euphorbiaceae
Source: RNAcentral